Onychostoma macrolepis is the source of this 592-nucleotide long non-coding RNA. RefSeq lists it as uncharacterized. Lineage: Eukaryota; Metazoa; Chordata; Actinopteri; Cypriniformes; Cyprinidae. The transcript is spliced from 3 exons. The record is from RefSeq and is a predicted model, not a curated record.
UGGACGUUUCUAGUGCAGGAAUGUCCAAACCCAUCGCUCGAGGGCCACUGUCCUACAGAGUUUAGCUCCAACCUUAAUUAAACACACCUGAACCAGCUAAGCAAGGUCUUCAGACUCACUAGAACAGGUGUGUCCAAUCCUACACCUGGUGGGCCAGUGUUUAUAUCCAACUUGCUUCAACACACCUGUGUGGAACUUUGUAGUAAUUCUGCAGUCAGGUGUGUUUAACUGGUGUUGGAGCUGUUCUCUGCAGUAUAGCGGACCUCCAGGAGCAAGAUUGGACAUUGUUGCACUAUAAACUUCCAGGCAAGUCUGUUGGAGGUGGUUGGAGCUAAACUCUGCAGGAUGUUGGACCUUAAGGAGCAGGAUCGGACAGCCCUACCUUACAGGAAACGUUGCUGGUGUCCAUAUGCCCUUAUCACAGAGAGGCCUGAUACCGUUUCUCCAAAGUAGUACAUUACUGGUAGCUGUGUUACCUGGACAAAGUAGUAGACAACAGCCAUUGGUACAACAACUGCGGUGAAGAUUGGAGUAGCCAGACAGAUAACAAACAAUGUUCCUAGAACUCCAAGAAGACAGAGAAUCCAGGAUC